RNAcentral lists this long non-coding RNA (6124 nucleotides) under Lathyrus oleraceus (garden pea). RNAcentral's name for it is "Pisum sativum (pea) long non-coding RNA (PSAT_LNC003399)". The record is from RNAcentral. Lineage: Eukaryota; Viridiplantae; Streptophyta; Magnoliopsida; Fabales; Fabaceae.
UUCUCAAAACUCAUAUAGUCAUUGGCCCGAUGACCUGUUACCCCACACUUAAAGUACUUGAUUAAAGCGAGAGUCUCUCCCCCAUUUGGAAUUUUAUCAUCUAAAUCUUUAUGCUUCCCUUUAUCAGUUGUAUCAUUGUAUGGUUUUCCAUAAAACUGAUUAUUCCUUUUCUUCUUGUUAAGACUCUUGUAAUGAGUAGAACGAGCUCUACAAUCCUCAUCAUAUAUCUUGCAUUUAUUCACCGACAUAGGAAAAUGGAGAAUCUUUUGAUAGCCAAUAUCUUGCUUGAUCUCGGGACGCAAUUUUCUUUCGAACUUGAUACAUUUUGACCCCUCAGCAGCCAUACCAUUGUAGUAUGGACAAAACUUCACCAGCUCUUCGAACUUAGCAGCAUGCUUAGCAAUUGUCAUAUUUCCCUCCUUUAGCUCAAGGAACCCAAUCUCCUUCUUACUAUACACGUCCUCUAAAAAAUACUUCUCCAAAAAUUUAGCCCUGAGCACAGCCUAAGUAGUCUCAAUACAACAACCUCUAGUCUCUAACGUGCAUUAUCCCACCAGUCUUCGGCCUCUUCAGACAACUUGUGUGCACCGAACUUCACCUUCUGAACUUUAGUGCAAUCCAUCACUCGAAAAAUACCUCAAUCUCUCUGAGCCAUAUUUGUGCACCCUCUGGAUCAUAUCUUCCCUUGAAGGUCGGAAGAUUGUUUCUCUGAAUCUUCUAUAAUCCACGAAACUCAUCACCAACCUGAUUUUGGUGACCUUGCAGCGCCCGAGCCAUUGCUUUCGAAGCAUCAACAAUCGCUCGGUCGUUUCUUCCUCCUGCCAUAUUCUGAAUACCAGUAAACAGACAUUAGAAGAAAUAUUGCAUCGACAACGUUCACACACUCGUCACAUACUAAGGAACAUAUAUAACAUUACAAAAACCUGGUUGGAUGGAAUGACAUGCUUUGAUACCACUAAUUGUAACACCAUAAACCCCAAAACUUAUGUAAAAAUAAUUACUCGACAAUUUAAGGUUUCGCCAACGACAUCCCUUCAAAACUCAUCAAAAACAUGUGACAACACGCAACGAAAAAUAAUUUCAUAACAACUUCAUAAAUAAAGUAUUGAAAUUUAAAACACCAAAUUCAACAUUAAAUCAAAAAUAUAACAAACGCCUUGUUCCCGAUAUUACAAUAUCAGAGCACUAAAAACCACUAAUAUACGAUAAAGCGGUAAAUAAAACAAAGUAUAGCUCCAAAAAUACACCUUCCACACAUAACAACAACUUUAAUACUGAGUAUCUGCAAGAUGUCUACGGUGGAUAACAUUAAGCAAAAGGGUGAGAAACAAAUUCAAUAUGAAUGGUGUAAAGAAUGCGAAGGUAGAGAAAUACACAACUUAUCAUACAUCCAAUACAUAAUCAACAAAUCAUAAUCACACAUCCAUUCACAAUAAUAUGCACAUAUAUAUGUAAUGCGACUUACGAUACAAUGUGACACUUAUGCAUGUGGUACCAUCUCAACAUUUGGUUCUCUUUGGAAUCGGGUCCCUCCUUAUGAACCCAUGAGCCCCCAUUUUGAGCUUGGGACAAGCCACUAGUCCCCCCUUCUAAACUAGUUAAUAUGUAUCUUUCAACGACAUGGCACAAUGAUGCAUGUCCAUACAAAUCAAUGCAACAACAAUAAUAACACUUACGGCCUCUUCUAACCAUAAACAACAUGCAUUGACACACAAUAGUAAUCCCUUUUCUGAAUUACUAUCCAUCAAUAACACCAACAAUACAUAAUUAAUCACCAUAUAGUCAUGCAUUUUAUAACAAUAUGAAUCAUAUCCACAUCAUAUAACAACACAAAACAGCAUCAUACGCAUCUCAUACCAUUGCUACAUAUAAACAACAACAGGUAAGUAAGGAAAUUACCAAUGAACAACAAUAAUUCCACCAUAAUUAAUUAAAUUCAUGACAAUUAAUUAACUACUGACACCAAAAUGUUCAAAUAGUAGUCAUACAUCACCCAAACAACAAUAACACCUCAAAAGUCUGAACUGACAACUCAGACCAUGCAACAGGAACGACAAUGCCCCUUCUGACAACAUGACGGGUGAUCCGGCAUCCUGGUGACGCUCGUCACAUGCUUACAACUCCCAUGCCGUCAUCAUAGUGAAAAUCGUCUUGGAAAACCAAGCCUGGAGACCAUGACGAUCUCCCUGUCAUAGAGCUGACGCCCGUCAGCAUCUCAAGGUGCAUGAUGGGUAACUCGUCAUCUGGGUGACGCCCGUCACCCUGCACCAGAAGGAAAAAACACUAAUUCUUCCAUGAGAGUUACCUUGAACUUUGAUUUAUGAUCCCUAAUCAUUCCCACACGCCCAAAAAAUGAUAAUGCAUGUAAUAACAUCAUUAUAACAUACCAAAUCAUUGAAUUACACAAAUUAUUCAUGAACUUCAACACAUUCAUGUUUAUGUUCAAACCUUCAACAACCCCAACAAUGACAUACAAACAUAUACACAUAAACAUAAUCAUAUAUACACAAAUCAAAUCACGAAAUUUAGAUGAACACACCUUUAAUUAUCAAUUUCCAGAACCACAUAUAACAACAACAAUUCAUAAGCAUUUCACAUAAUUCCUAAAGAGAGUAAGAGUAUCUCUUCUCUAUCUUUUCAUGCAAUACAUGCAUAUAGAAGCCCCCUCCCCCCCUUUAUGUUAGGUUCCUUGCAAAAAUCUGAAUUGGUGAUGGUGUGUUCUUCCCUUUCCAAGCCCUAGUCUCAUUUGCUCUUCCAAACUCUAUUUAACGUACUGACAACCCUUAGGUCUCUAAUCCGUUUUUAUCUAAUUUAAUCUUUAGGUAAUUAUACUAAGACCCAAUUCUUUUUAAAAUUUUCACUAUUUCCCUUUUGUUCCUAUUUUCCACCCAUAAACUUAUAUUUCUAUUUAUUUUAAUUAAUUAAUAAAAACAAUUAUUCAUUCUAAUUAUUUAUAAUUAUUCUAAUUCUCCUAAUCCUUCUAUCACCCCAUCAAUGCUCUCACCACACCCUACCACAUAUACAUACCACUCAAUAUAUUUAAUUAAAAAUAUAUCACAUACUAAAUAAUUAAAUAAAAAUACGAAUAAUCUGACUAAAUCAAUUAAUCAAAUCUAGGGGUGUUACAUAGUUGAAGAAGAAGAAGAAGAUGAAAGUGAUACACAGUCUGAUUAUCUGUUGAACACCAACAGUGAAGAUGGUAAUCAUCAAGCGCCAUUACCUCCAAGUCACGUAUAUUGUCUACCACAAUAUAUGACAAACUUGAACUUGAAUGGUGAUGAGUCAUCCUCUAAUAUUUUUUACAAUCCAUAUAUGCGGUUAGAGGGUGAGUUAAAAGUGGGAGACAGGUUCCACACUAAAGAAGAGUGAAUGUGAGCUAUCAAAAAAUUUCACAUGGAGAACUCUGUUGAUUAUACCGUAGAUCACACUAAUGCAAGAAGAUAUGUCAUUCUUUGUCGUAAUGUGCUUUGCAUGUUUCGACUAGCACCGUCUUACAGGAAGAUAAUUGAUUCAUGGGAGAUAAGUUAUAUACAUUUAUCUCACAAUUGAACCGCCACUAUUAUUGCACAUGAUCACCAUAAAUUAAACUCUAAAAUAAUAUGUCAAGACAUUUUGUCUUUUGUUAGCAAGGAGCCAUCAAUGAAGGUAAGUAUACUAAUCUUUCAUAUUGUUACAUGAUAUAAUUAUAAUCCCUCAUACAAGAAAGUGUGGAUUGCAAGAAAAAAUGCUAUUGAACGAGUAUACGAAAAUUAGAAGGAUUCGUACAAAAAAAAAUCCACAAUAAUUGGUGACACUUAAGACAUAUACUCUGGGAACUGUUACAAUUUUGAAGACACGGUCGGCAUAUACGCCGUACAGAACUUGUGUCAGUGGAAAUAUAAUAUUUCAUCGAUUCUUUUUAGGCAUUUCAACCAUGCAUCAAAGAUUUUGCGUUUUGCAAACUUAUUCCUAAAAUUGAUGGAACAUGGUUGUACGGGAAAUACAAGGGCACAUUACUUAUGACAGGGGCACAAGACGACAACAAUAAUAUAUUUCCCAUUGCCUUCGCUCUGAUUGAAGGUGAGACUUUGAGUGGUUAGAGUUUCUUUCUCAAGAAUCUCAUAACAUAUGUUGCUCCACAAUCCAACCUCUGUUUGAUUUCAGACAGACAUGCAUCUAUUGAGAGUGUGUAUAAUAAUCCUGAGAAUGGAUGACAAAAUCCUCCUUCUAGCCAUGUCUACUGCAUUAGACAUAUUGCACAAAACUUCAUGCGAGAAAUCAGAGACAAGAACCUUUGGAAAAAAUGUUGUGAUUGUAGUGUACUCCCUCCGUCCCAUAUUAUAAGCAAAUUUCACCUUUCUAGAUUCAUUAAAUAAUUAAUGUAUCUGGUUUAUUAUAUAGAUCAGAUACAUUAAUUAUUUAAUGAAUCUAAAAAGGUGAAAUUUACAAAUUUCACCUUUCUAGAUUCAUUAAAUAAUUAAUGUAUCUGGUUUAUUAUAUAGAUCAGAUACAUUAAUUAUUUAAUGAAUCUAAAAAGGUGAAAUUUGCUUAUAAUAUGGGACGGAGGGAGUAUGCUUUAAUUCAGCCAUCAUUCCGACACUAUCGUAGGGAAAUUAGAUUGUCAAAUGCGGAUGCAUUAAUGUGUGUGGAUAACAUUCCAUUGGAGAAGUGGAUAAUGGAAUUUGACGAAGGACGCCGAUGGGGCCACAUGACAAUAAACCUUGUUCAGUCCAUGAACAACUUCUUCAAAGACAUUAGAAACCUAUCAAUAAUCGCGUUGGUGAGAGCAAUAUAUUUUAGGUUGGGAUCACUUUUUACAUCCAUAGGCAAAAAAUGGAGUUCGGUGUUACGGUUGAGACAAUUAUUCAGUAAAAGUUGCAUGAAAGUGAUGAAGGGGGAAACUAUCAAAGCUAGCACACAUGGGGUUACAAUCUUUGACCGUCGUAGACACAGUUUUAGUGUAAAAGAAAUAAUGGACCACAAUGAGGGGAGGCCGAAUGAAGACUAUCAGAUCGAACUAAAUAGAGGUUGGUGCGAUUGUGGCAAGUUUCAAGCCUUAUGUAUGUCUUGCUCCGAUGUCAUUGCGACAUAUUCAUAUGCUCGCCAUAACACUUCCAAGCAUGUAUCUGCCGUUUACAAAGUCGCAAAUGUAUUCAAUGUAUACAACAAUAACUUCCCGAUGAUAGUAAAAGGGGACUAUUUACCUACAUAUCAAGGGAACAUAAUUUGAUGCGAUAAAAAUAUGCGACAGAAGAAAAAAUAUCGCUCCAACAGCACAUAUAUUAAAACAAAAAUUGAUAUAACUAAUAAAAUGGUAAUAUUAAAAUAAAUUUGCAUGAUAAUUUUUUUUCUUUAAAUUUUUAUAACCUUAUUAUUUUAUAUAUAUAUAUAUAUAUAUAUAUAUUAAUUUUUGGUUACAACAAAAAUAACAUAAACACUCUAUCAAUAAUUAAGUUAAGAAAGCAUAAAAUUAAUUAAGCUUAAUCUUUAGUAUAUUUAAUAAUCCAAUAAAGAAAAUUUAAAAACACAUUGAAAUAUCAACACCGUUUGAUUUCCAUCAAACAAAAGCACUUGAAAUCUCAACUCCAUGAGACACACAAUUUCACAAAAUCUCAAAUCUCUUAUCCAACCCAAGUGAGAUAACAAAACACAAAGUAUCAUAAAUCACCACCAAUAACAACAAUCCAUCUCAGCAUCUUUACUUCUCUCACCUUAUCCAAAAUCCAUUUUCCCACCACCAAUUUCUCUCCACACAGAAUCUAAAAACCUUCUCUUCUUCUCUUUCCAAUAUCAUCACACAAAUCAAAUCCAUCACACACAAACACCAUUCUUUUUUCCUCACAAAAAAAUGUCUCUCACCAUUCCAACUAACCUCUCGAAACCCACCUCAACCCUAAGACCCAAACUCACCCAAAAACCAAAACUCUCCACCAUCAUCCACUGCAGCACAAACCAAACCCCAAACAAUCAAACCGACCAUGCAAACUCAAAUCUAAAAGCCUUCUCCGCUGCACUAGCCCUCUCCUCAAUCCUCAUCUCAUCCCCACUCCCGGCCGUCGCCGACAUCUCCGGCUUAACCCCAUGCAAAGAAUCAAAACAGUUCGCCAAACGCGAAAAACAGUCAAUCAAAAAACUCGAGUCCUCC